This 1122-nucleotide long non-coding RNA is filed under the name Heterocephalus glaber (naked mole-rat). Its description in RNAcentral is "lncRNA (ENSHGLG00000027288.2)". The record is from RNAcentral. Lineage: Eukaryota; Metazoa; Chordata; Mammalia; Rodentia; Bathyergidae.
GUGCAAGUGUGAUGUUCAGUGCAAAGCACGGCAGUAGCGAAAACGCCACAAAGAUCCAAGACUAUUUUUCAACUGAUACCUAGAAUCCUUUAAUUAGAUUCAGAGGCAGAGCGUUAAGAUUUGGCCAAAUCGGAACUGCAACUCAGAAAUAACUUAGGACAGUUAAUAGGUGAUUUUUUUAAAUGUAUAGUUAUAGCUAUCGCACAUCAUUUUUACAAAGUCGUGCAUUAACUAAUGGAGCAGAAGCACCACCUAUUAAGAUUCAAAUUCAGAAACAUAAUCUAAUACUACAAACUUUCCUUCGCAAUAUGCUUCAUUAUUUUACAUUCAAUGUUCGUUAUCAUAUGAAGCCAUGAAUCUAUAUAACUUGAAAGCAACUUAUCCAAUCACGAACACACUCACAAAACAAAUCCAACUAGUUUUUAUUCUUUUUUUAUUUCCCGACAGUCAGCUGAAAAAAAUAAAAGAAUCUCUAGUUCAGUUUUCCACAUAAUUAAAACAAGAAGAAACUCUCAAGCCGCCUUAACUUACACAGCGGGCCCCAUGCCUGGCGCUGGGAGGAAUGGCGAGGCUGUCCUGUCCCUAGGGCAGAGGGCUUGCGGGGCUGAGCACCUGAGCACAAGUACUUCGUGGUCAAGAGUGUUCCACAUUGCUGACAUUCAGCUCAGCCUCAGAAGCACCCUUGACAACUACCGAUGGCCACAGCCAAAUGGUUACCUGUAAAGUGGCCACUGCACCGUUUUCAGACAUGAAAUGGCCAAUGCUUUAGUUAAGAAUGUGCACCAGCCUGCAGUUCUUCACUGAGGUAUUUUGUCACAGUGACAGAAAGCUGAGCAUCACAAACACAAGGAAGAAGGUCAUGGUAAAUGCAAGCAGAGACUGGAGUGAAGCAGCUAUAAGCCAUGAAUGCUGGGGAGCGUUGGAGCCACCAGAAGCUAUGAAGAGCCAAGGAAGGCUUACUUCUUCCUAGAGUUUUUACCUGGAGUAUAGCCCUACUGCUACCUUGAUUUCAGACUUUUAGCCACCAAAUAAGUGAUGGAAUAAAUUUCUGCUGUUUUAAACCAUUUAGUUUGUGGGAAUUUGUCAUAGCAGCUCCAGGAAAUGAAUAUAUGCAAAACCACC